This is a transfer RNA of Ovis aries (sheep), 72 nucleotides long. It matches the Rfam family "tRNA". Rfam says of the family: Transfer RNA (tRNA) molecules are approximately 80 nucleotides in length. Their secondary structure includes four short double-helical elements and three loops (D, anti-codon, and T loops). NCBI's taxonomy places the organism in Eukaryota, Metazoa, Chordata, Mammalia, Artiodactyla, Bovidae. The record is from Rfam.
UCUCUGGUGGUCCAGAGGUUAGGACGCAGCACUUUCACUGCCUAGGUCUGGGUUCAAUCCCUAGUCAGGGAA